Molecule: ribosomal RNA, 468 nt
Filed under: uncultured bacterium
Lineage: Bacteria
Description: partial 16S ribosomal RNA
Rfam family: Bacterial small subunit ribosomal RNA
Source: RNAcentral
GACGAACGCUGGCGGCGUGCUUAACACAUGCAAGUCGAACGGAAAGGCCCUGCUUUUGUGGGUUGCUCGAGUGGCGAACGGGUGAGUAACACGUGAGUAACCUGCCCUUGACUUUGGGAUAACUUCAGGAAACUGGGGCUAAUACCGGAUAGGAGCUCCUGCUGCAUGGUGGGGGUUGGAAAGUUUCGGCGGUUGGGGAUGGACUCGCGGCUUAUCAGCUUGUUGGUGGGGUAGUGGCUUACCAAGGCUUUGACGGGUAGCCGGCCUGAGAGGGUGACCGGCCACAUUGGGACUGAGAUACGGCCCAGACUCCUACGGGAGGCAGCAGUGGGGAAUAUUGCACAAUGGGCGGAAGCCUGAUGCAGAAACGCCGCGUGCGGGAUGACGGCCUUCGGGUUGUAAACCGAUUUCGCAUGUGACGAAGAGUGAGUGACGGUAAUGGGUAAAGAAGCACCGGCUAACUACGUG